AAUAGAUACCCGGGUAGUCCACGCCGUAAACGUUGGGCGCUAGAUGUGGGGGCCAUUCCACGGUUUCCGCGUCGUAGCUAACGCAUUAAGCGCCCCGCCUGGGGAGUACGGCCGCAAGGCUAAAACUCAAAGGAAUUGACGGGGGCCCGCACAAGCGGCGGAGCAUGCGGAUUAAUUCGAUGCAACGCGAAGAACCUUACCAAGGCUUGACAUAUACGAGAACACUGCAGAAAUGUAGGACUCUUUGGACACUCGUAUACAGGUGGUGCAUGGUUGUCGUCAGCUCGUGUCGUGAGAUGUUGGGUUAAGUCCCGCAACGAGCGCAACCCUCGUCGCAUGUUGCCAGCACGUAAAGGUGGGAACUCAUGUGAGACUGCCGGGGUCAACUCGGAGGAAGGUGGGGAUGACGUCAAAUCAUCAUGCCCCUUAUGUCUUGGGCUUCACGCAUGCUACAAUGGCCGGUACAAAGGGCUGCAAUACCGUAAGGUGGAGCGAAUCCCAAAAAGCCGGUCUCAGUUCGGA
This 522-nucleotide ribosomal RNA is filed under the name uncultured bacterium. RNAcentral's name for it is "bacterial SSU rRNA". It matches the Rfam family "Bacterial small subunit ribosomal RNA", at positions 777 to 1297 of the family's 1533-position model. The record is from RNAcentral.